RNAcentral lists this unclassified non-coding RNA (331 nucleotides) under soil metagenome. RNAcentral describes it as "partial contains 5.8S ribosomal RNA, internal transcribed spacer 2, and large subunit ribosomal RNA". The stretch from base 1 to 120 matches the Rfam family "5.8S ribosomal RNA", at positions 35 to 154 of the family's 154-position model. The record is from RNAcentral.
GAUGAAGAACGCAGCGAAAUGCGAUAAGUAAUGUGAAUUGCAGAAUUCAGUGAAUCAUCGAAUCUUUGAACGCACAUUGCGCCCCCUGGUAUUCCGGGGGGCAUGCCUGUUCGAGCGUCAUUUCACCACUCAAGCCACGCUUGGUAUUGGGCAACGCGGUCCGCCGCGUGCCUCAAAUCGACCGGCUGGGUCUUCUGUCCCCUAAGCGUUGUGGAAACUAUUCGCUAAAGGGUGUUCGGGAGGCUACGCCGUAAAACAACCCCAUUUCUAAGGUUGACCUCGGAUCAGGUAGGGAUACCCGCUGAACUUAAGCAUAUCAAUAAGCGGAGGA